Molecule: non-coding RNA, 267 nt
Organism: Pelobates cultripes (western spadefoot toad)
Lineage: Eukaryota; Metazoa; Chordata; Amphibia; Anura; Pelobatidae
Source: the annotation of a GenBank genome assembly
UCUGCCUGUAACUGUGUGUGUGUUUUACUGUCUGCCAAUAACGGGGUGUGUGUGUGUGUGACUGUCUACCUGUAACUAUGUGUGUGUGUGUGUGUGUGACUGUCUGCCUCUAACUGUGUGUGUGUGUGUGACAGUCUGCCUGUGACUGUAUAUGUGACUGUCACAUGCAGACAAGCACAUAUACAGUCACAGGCAGACAGUCAUACACACACACAGUUAGAGGCAGACAGUCUCACACACACACACGCACACAUACACAAUUACAGG